UUUACUGGGCAACCGCUGGCAGCCUGUGAGCUGCUAGAGGAAAGUCGGGACUGGCCUUGUCUACCACUCUGUAGGCAAGAAAGUUGGUGCACAGCGCAAGCUGUGGCAGGGUGACCUGACGGCGGCGAACCUAUCCCUCGGGGAUAGCAGUAGCUAUAAAAGCUCCACAGAGACGAGCCGUUGUGGCAACACGACGGGUGAAACGAGGAAAGCCCCACCAGCCAGCAACGCAAAUUAUGGUAGCGGCACCCCUUACAGGGGCAGAGGCAAUUUGUCUCUGAGAUAGAUGGUUGCCUUAAAUGACAGAAUCCCGCUUAUAGGU
This 322-nucleotide RNase P RNA is filed under the name Bacillota bacterium. RNAcentral describes it as "Firmicutes bacterium (anaerobic digester metagenome) RNase P RNA component class B". It matches the Rfam family "Bacterial RNase P class B". From Rfam's summary of the family: Ribonuclease P (RNase P) is a ubiquitous endoribonuclease, found in archaea, bacteria and eukarya as well as chloroplasts and mitochondria. Lineage: Bacteria; Bacillati; Bacillota. The record is from RNAcentral.